CUACGGGUUGCUGCAGUGGGGAAUAUUGCACAAUGGGCGCAAGCCUGAUGCAGCCAUGCCGCGUGUAUGAAGAAGGCCUUCGGGUUGUAAAGUACUUUCAGCGGGGAGGAAGGGAGUAAAGUUAAUACCUUUGCUCAUUGACGUUACCCGCAGAAGAAGCACCGGCUAACUCCGUGCCAGCAGCCGCGGUAAUACGGAGGGUGUAAGCGUUAAUCGGAAUUACUGGGCGUAAAGCGCACGCAGGCGGUUUGUUAAGUCAGAUGUGAAAUCCCCGGGCUCAACCUGGGAACUGCAUCUGAUACUGGCAAGCUUGAGUCUCGUAGAGGGGGGUAGAAUUCCAGGUGUAGCGGUGAAAUGCGUAGAGAUCUGGAGGAAUACCGGUGGCGAAGGCGGCCCCCUGGACGAAGACUGACGCUCAGGUGCGAAAGCGUGAGGAGCAAACAGGAUUAGAUACCCUAGUAGUC
RNAcentral lists this ribosomal RNA (464 nucleotides) under uncultured bacterium. RNAcentral's name for it is "partial 16S ribosomal RNA". It matches the Rfam family "Bacterial small subunit ribosomal RNA", at positions 339 to 795 of the family's 1533-position model. The record is from RNAcentral.